Long non-coding RNA from Mauremys mutica (yellowpond turtle), 287 nucleotides. RefSeq lists it as uncharacterized. The record is from RefSeq and is a predicted model, not a curated record. The transcript has 3 exons. NCBI's taxonomy places the organism in Eukaryota, Metazoa, Chordata, Testudines, Geoemydidae.
UCUCCACCCUGAAGUUCAAUUGUUAGCCGAGGUUGUUGGCAAAUGAAUGCAUAAGGACUAUCUUUAAGGACAUGAGAUACUAGGAUUUCAUCCCAGUGACUGCAAAUGGAGGAACAUCAGGUUAUGGUAAAAUGGCAGAGUGUUUCCAGUUCAGCAGUGCAGCUGCCCUUUAUCUGAUACUCAGGAACAAAGCUGGUGCAGGCAGCAGAGGAGAAAGCACAAAGAUGUUUAAGGAAAAAUUGGGCUGAUGGACAAUAAAGGAUGGCAUUGCUGGUGGAGUAGAGGCC